This 377-nucleotide unclassified non-coding RNA is filed under the name uncultured Actinomycetes bacterium. Its description in RNAcentral is "uncultured actinobacterium contains 16S-23S intergenic spacer region". Lineage: Bacteria; Bacillati; Actinomycetota; Actinomycetes. The record is from RNAcentral.
UCCGGUUUGUCACCGGCAGUCUCCCAUGAGUCCCCAACUUAAUGCUGGCAACUAAAGAUAGGGGUUGCGCUCGUUGCGAGACUUAACCCAACAUUUCACAACACGAGCUGACGACAGCCAUGCACCACCUGUGACCGUGCCCCGAAGGGAGGGUGUGUUUCCACACCUGUCACGGACAUGUCAAGCCCAGGUAAGGUUCUUCGCGUUGCGUCGAAUUAAACCACAUGCUCCGCUGCUUGUGCGGGCCCCCGUCAAUUCCUUUGAGUUUUAGCCUUGCGGCCGUACUCCCCAGGCGGGGCGCUUAAUGCGUUAGCUACGGCACGGAUCCCGUGGAAGGAAACCCACACCUAGCGCCCACCGUUUACGGCGUGGACUAC